CCUACGGGAGGCAGCAGUGGGGAAUAUUGGACAAUGGGCGAAAGCCUGAUCCAGCCAUGCCGCGUGGGUGAAGAAGGCCCUCGGGUUGUAAAGCCCUUUUGUUGGGAAAGAAAUCUUUCCGGUUAAUACCCGGAGAGGAUGACGGUACCCAAAGAAUAAGCACCGGCUAACUUCGUGCCAGCAGCCGCGGUAAU
RNAcentral lists this ribosomal RNA (194 nucleotides) under uncultured bacterium. RNAcentral describes it as "partial 16S rRNA". It matches the Rfam family "Bacterial small subunit ribosomal RNA", at positions 338 to 524 of the family's 1533-position model. The record is from RNAcentral.